This 597-nucleotide ribosomal RNA is filed under the name Meyerozyma guilliermondii. RNAcentral describes it as "eukaryotic LSU rRNA". It matches the Rfam family "Eukaryotic large subunit ribosomal RNA", at positions 52 to 664 of the family's 3401-position model. The record is from RNAcentral. Lineage: Eukaryota; Fungi; Ascomycota; Pichiomycetes; Serinales; Debaryomycetaceae.
GGAGGAAAAGAAACCAACAGGGAUUGCCUUAGUAGCGGCGAGUGAAGCGGCAAAAGCUCAAAUUUGAAAUCUGGCGCCUUCGGUGUCCGAGUUGUAAUUUGAAGAUUGUAACCUUGGGGUUGGCUCUUGUCUAUGUUUCUUGGAACAGGACGUCACAGAGGGUGAGAAUCCCGUGCGAUGAGAUGCCCAAUUCUAUGUAAGGUGCUUUCGAAGAGUCGAGUUGUUUGGGAAUGCAGCUCUAAGUGGGUGGUAAAUUCCAUCUAAAGCUAAAUAUUGGCGAGAGACCGAUAGCGAACAAGUACAGUGAUGGAAAGAUGAAAAGAACUUUGAAAAGAGAGUGAAAAAGUACGUGAAAUUGUUGAAAGGGAAGGGUUUGAGAUCAGACUCGAUAUUUUGUGAGCCUUGCCUUCGUGGCGGGGUGACCCGCAGCUUAUCGGGCCAGCAUCGGUUUGGGCGGUAGGAUAAUGGCGUAGGAAUGUGACUUUACUUCGGUGAAGUGUUAUAGCCUGCGUUGAUGCUGCCUGCCUAGACCGAGGACUGCGAUUUUAUCAAGGAUGCUGGCAUAAUGAUCCCAAACCGCCCGUCUUGAACCACGGG